UACGUAGGAGGCGAGCGUUUGUCCGGAGUUACUGGGCGUAAAGCGCACGCAGGCGGUCAGAUCAGUCUGGAGUGACAGUCGUCGGCUUAACCGACGAAGUGUUCUGGAAACUGUCUGACUUGAGGGCUUCAGAGGGACACGGAAUUCCGGGUGGAGUGGUGAAAUGCGUAGAUAUCCGGAGGAACACCAAUGGCGAAGGCAGUGUCCUGGGA
RNAcentral lists this ribosomal RNA (212 nucleotides) under uncultured bacterium. Its description in RNAcentral is "partial 16S ribosomal RNA". It matches the Rfam family "Bacterial small subunit ribosomal RNA", at positions 524 to 734 of the family's 1533-position model. The record is from RNAcentral.